UCGAGGAUAUUUAGCAAUGGACGAAAGUCUGACUAUGCGACGCCGCGUGAGGGAUGAAGGAUUUCGGUUCGUAAACCUCUUUUGGCAGGGAAGAAAACUUUGCUUCUAAUCAAGCAAAACUGACGGUACCUGCAGAAUCAGCCACGGCUAACUCCGUGCCAGCAGCCGCGGUAAUACGGAGGUGGCUAGCGUUACUCGGAAUUAUUGGGUGUAAAGGGCAAGUAGGCGGUCUAAUAAGUGGGGGGUGAAAUACUCCGGCUCAAUCGGAGAACAGCCCUCCAAACUGCUAGACUUGAGUAUGACAGAGGAAAAUGGAAUUCUUGGUGUAAGGGUGAAAUCUGUAGAUAUCAAGAAGAACACCAGCUGCGAAGGCGAUUUUCUGGGUCAUUACUGACGCUAAAUUGCGAAAGCUAGGGGAGCAAACAGA
Molecule: ribosomal RNA, 427 nt
Filed under: uncultured bacterium
Lineage: Bacteria
Description: bacterial SSU rRNA
Rfam family: Bacterial small subunit ribosomal RNA
Source: RNAcentral